Molecule: ribosomal RNA, 434 nt
Filed under: uncultured bacterium
Lineage: Bacteria
Description: partial 16S ribosomal RNA
Rfam family: Bacterial small subunit ribosomal RNA
Source: RNAcentral
AGCGAACGCUGGCGGCAUGCCUAACACAUGCAAGUCGAACGAACCGUUCGGGGUCAUUGGCCGACGGGGGAGUAACACGUGGGAACGUGCCCUUAUGGACUGAAUAACUCUGAGAAUCUUGUACUAACACCGAAUGUGCGCUUCUAGCGAAAGAUUUAUCGUCUUUAGAGCGGCCCGCGUCUGAUUAGCUAGUUGGUUGAGGUAAUGGCUCACCAAGGCGACGAUCAGUAGCUGGUAUGAGAGGAUGAUCAGCGACAUUGGGACUGGGACACGGCCGAAACUCUUACGCGAGGGAGCAGUGGGGAAUCUUGCGAAAUGGGCGAAAGCCUGAAGCAGCCAUGAUGGGUGAAUGAUGAAGGUAUUAGGAAAGAAAAAUUUUUUCAACGGGGAAGAUAAUGACGGUACCCGGAGAAGAAGCCACGGCUAACUUCGUG